AUACGGAGGGAGCAAGCGUUAUUCGGAAUCACUGGGCGUAAAGCGUACGUAGGCGGUCCGUUAAGUUAGAUGUGAAAGCCCCGGGCUUAACCUGGGAACUGCAUUUAAAACUGGCGGACUAGAGUUGAGUAGAGGGGAGUGGAAUUUCAGGUGUAGCGGUGAAAUGCGUAGAGAUCUGAAGGAACACCAGUGGCGAAGGCGACUCCCUGGACUCGAACUGACGCUGAGGUACGAAAGCGUGGGUAGCAAACGGGAUUAGAUACCCCAGUAGUCC
Molecule: ribosomal RNA, 274 nt
Filed under: uncultured bacterium
Lineage: Bacteria
Description: partial 16S ribosomal RNA
Rfam family: Bacterial small subunit ribosomal RNA
Source: RNAcentral